RNAcentral lists this long non-coding RNA (30255 nucleotides) under Durio zibethinus. RNAcentral's name for it is "long non-coding RNA (DZIB_LNC001145)". The record is from RNAcentral. Lineage: Eukaryota; Viridiplantae; Streptophyta; Magnoliopsida; Malvales; Malvaceae.
GUAAGCCCUGGCUAACGGGUUAUAAUAGUUAGCAAUGAUCAUGAGAAUGAAAUUGUCGAUACGGUCAAUGUCACGGGUUAUAGCAGUGACCGUAGCUAACGAUUUGAAUGAUAAUGAUGAUUUAUGAUGAUUUUAAUGAUUGAUCCAUGAUUUGGUUUGAUUAUGAUAUUUGAAUGAUAGCAUAUUUUACAAUGAUUUAUGAAGUGACAUAUUUUGACAUUGAUUUAUGAAUUUAUGAAAUAUUUGACGAAACGAUGAUCUUAAAAUGUUUUGAUAUUAUGAUUUGUUGAAUGUUUUGAAUGAUCUAUAUGAUGUGUAAGGAAACGAUGCUUGAUCUGGUAAGGUGUGUGAGUCUAUACUUACUAAGUUGUGGUUUGCUCAUUCUCCUUUUACUUUUUUUUUACAGAUGAUUAAGUGAUAAGUUUAGUUAGUCUUGUAUGAAGCUAAAAGAUGAAAUGAGUAAGAUUACUUAAACGUCGAAGAAUAUGUUGACCAAUGAGAAUUUUAAGAGGUAGUUUUGUAUUUUAUAUGGUUUGUAUUUGAAUAUAUAAAGAUGUAUCAUCAGUUGGAUUAAAGAUAUGAAUUUUACUUGAUAAAUUAUUUUAUUAAAAAAUUUUAGAAUGUUUAAGAAAAAAAACUUCAUAUUAUUUUGAGAUUUUUUUAAAAUAAUAUGAUCGUGUUAUGCCUCGAUUCGAGGCAUAACAAGUGCAGCCCCAUCUUGUUGUCGUGGUACAAUGUACGUGAAUAAGAUGAGGAUUGUAAUGGUAGUAUAGGCCAUAAGGGCAUUGAAUGCUUGCCUCAAUCACGGAAUGUCCAAAACUUGGUCCUUUCUUUAUAGUCGGAGUUCGUCAGUCUCAAAGGAACUUAUUUCCGGUUGUUUAUGGACCAACACAACACAAAGCGAGCAGUCUUUUGUCCCACGUAACACAAAUUUUGGCCUGUUGAGCAAUUAGCUUGGUCGAGCUAAAUUUGCGCUGCCUAGUCACAGCUCUUUAUUGCUGAUCAAUUGAAAGUUUCCGGUUACUACAAACAAGGCUUAGCCCCACGUUGUCACAGUGUCAUCGAAAGCGAAGCAUGGCUUCUCCUCCUAAAUUCCUCUUAUGUCAUCCACAUUAGACAAAUUUUUUUCAUUGCUUUCGGCCUUACAUUUCACCAACUCAAAGAGCACAAUGUAACAUCACCCCAGGUUUUAUAUCCGUUACAACAUAUUUGCAAGCUGUCUCGCAAGGUUAGCUUAGUUGGCAAGCAAAUAUACUCUCACCAUAACGACGACCAACUAUUAGAACAUCCAGACUUUGUCAGGUGCCAAGGUUAAGGACUAAGGGCAAUUCAAGCAUAUGAGACACAAACUUAGCAUAUGGGGCUGCCCAUGAGCUUCUGCCAUAAACAUGAAAUUCUAAAACCACAAUAAUCACAAUUGAGUACUGAAGCAAAUGCAUUCCUCCUUGAUAAAGCACCACAAAUACCUUGUUACAGCCUUUCAAUCAGCCAACAUGGGAGAUAUUUCCCAUGUUCCAAAGGCCAAAAGCCGGCUUUACAAGCUACAUGGUAAUCUUAUCUGUCUUCUUAAGUUCCUUGCUUCCUUUGUAUUCUUUUUCAAAUAACAGCUAGCAAACGAAUAUAAUCUUGCAUGCCAAAACCCAGAACAAAUUUGUACUAAUAUUAUAGCUAACUUCGUUACUUCAAAGUGACAAGGCCGUAACCUGAAGGUGUAAAUUUAGAAUGAGAUGGGCCAUGAGGCUUUGAAGUCUAUUCUCCAUGUUCUGUCAAUGAAAUAGAUAGGCUAUUCCAUCAUUUUCAUUGAGGUUAGAGUCAUAAUAGAUAAACUUUUUAUGGCUAGCUGAUAAAAAAUCUUAGGCAUUUUUUAUGUUUCAGUAAUGCGGUGAUCCAUUGGUGACCACAUUCCAAAUGAUGAUAUGCAUGUGAAGGCCAUGUUACUUUUGUCUUGAAAACGCCUUAAAGAGACAAAAAUGGUUAAUGUAACUACGUAAGGCUGCUCAACAUCACAAAUUGCCACUGUGCCGGUGAUAUCUUCAGCUUUGCCAACUUUCCCCAUUCAAAACUGCCUAUUAAUGACAACCUCUUCGACCAAACUCCUUCGUUAAGUCAGCUAUCAGUGUUGGCUACAGGGUUAAUAUUGAAGUUAGUAACUCCAGAUGGAGGCUUGAUGAUUCUUCAUAAUUCCAACCGGGAUAGAUACAGUAAUUUAACACCAGAUAUCUAAGAUCACACCAUUAAGCUUUUGAAGGAAUUAGGAUAGAAUUGGGGUGUGGGGACAUUAAGCUUUUGUUAAAUAAUGGAGUAAUAAUGCAUAUCAUGCUCUAAGAUAAUUCUAAUAUCAAAAGCUCAAUGAUUGAGUACUAAACUCAAAUGACGAAAGGUCAAUGGAUAAGAACCUAGCAUCAUUUGUUCCAGCUUCGCUUUCUAUUGCCACAGCCACAAUCGAACUCCAUUUAGAUGGACAAGAAAAAGGGUGGCCCAUAAAGCUCCAUUUAGAAGUCAUCGAACACAAAAAGAUUUGUGAAAUGGGCCCCACGGCUUGACAGGCUGCGGUCACAGGAUUAUAUACUUGAGCAAUUCCAAGCAAACUCAAUGGCAAUACACUGUAUUUUUGAGGAAAAUGCACACACCAAAGUCCAAACAACAUGGAGUCUCGUUGGUGCAACACCUGGAUAAUCUGUUCCACCUGAUCUAUCCUACUUCAGACAACUUAUCCACAUUCCAAAGACCUUUCAAUUCCUACAUCCUCAUUCAUCCAAAAUCAAGUCUAUCUUUACAAGAGUGAAAAUGUUUAAUAUGUUGUUAAUGUAACUUAACACCAAUGUUCAAACCUUAUCUUCCAUACUCUCGAACCCUUUCUCUUCAAGAAAGCUUUUGGUUCCUAUUUAGCUAAAGCUAACUUCCAUCGUCACUCACUUUAUAUAUAUGAACAAGAAUUGAAGAUGUCUGAAGGUAGUAAAAACUUCCAAUUUCCUUAUUCAAGAGCAAAAUUUACACAGGCUAAAUGAAUCAUCAUACCAUAGUACAUACAACAAUAGCAAUAGGAUUCCUAGGACCAAUAGCAGAAGAUGUAAUCACGCACAAAAAUACAUUAGGAGAACAUAUGCCACAGCCCACAACAAAUGUUAACCGCAAUGACCAUUGAUAGUCAAAGCUAAUAUUAUCAGGUGAGCUUUAUUUUUUCUUUUCAGCUACUACCACAUCAUGGAAAGUUUCUACACUAAAAUAGAAGCUUGCAUAUAUAUGUUCUCUUUCAUGUCUUAGGUUGACAAAGGGCAAGAUAAUAUCAUCGACGGUUGUUAACAUACUACUUAGGUCUUAGCUACAAUCAAUGCUCUUAAGGAAAUAAGUUACAACUAAAUCUAGAAAGAAGGUUGAUACAGUUGAUAUCCACAUCUUUACAUCUUCUUCACAGUUCACUUUGUCAUCCCCAAUGUAAACUCGAAAAGUGAACUCCAAUAGUAACCUAUCAUGAUCAUGUACAUUCAUAACUGGAGGCUGGUUUCAAAGGUUGAGGCAUCCCAUCAAUCGCACUUAACUGUCUUCUCAGCUUAACAAUAUGGGCUUGCACCUAUCAUGUAAUAUAAACGGUCAUAAGAUAUUGUCAUUUGUCCCACAAGUUCAUGAAAGAUAAAAGAGCGUGAACAUCAAACAACUGAAUUAGACAUGCAUAGUGACACAUAAAAGCCUGUAAGUCAGGCCAAAAGCUUAUGGAGUUGACCCACAUUCAUGGCCAAGAUAGCAGGUUACAAAGUGUGACUCAAAAUUUUGUAUCAAAAUGGCAGAGGACAGACAAAACAUCUACAAACCAGGUAAUGCUGACUACAUUAUGGAUUAAAAGACGCUUUAACUUGUACAUCUGGCUAGACUUCUGUAUAAGCAUAGCAUGCCUAUUCAUAACUAGUAGUAUAACAGCAAAUAUAAACACCAGAACACUUCACAGUGGCUCAACCAAGUUAAUUGCUAAAAUGAAAAGCAACUUAGCUAUUCCAACCUGCUGACGAGCUGCAGCAAGUUUCAAGAGUUCAUCUGCCUCUGAGAAAUUCAUAAACCACUGACUGAGUGGAUGAUCCUUGGUAUCACCCCUUCCAUUCUCAUUCAUAUUUUCAAGUGGUACUGCAGAAACAAGAAAAGUGAUCCUCACAGAAUUUUUUUGAUGAGCAAGAGUCCAAAAAGAAGGCAGAACAAGUAAAUUUACCUGGAGCAGGCAAGCUAAACCCAGCAGGCAGCCGUGGCACAAGAACAGCUGGAUGAUUUUGCACACGAGCAAAGAAACACUCAGAAGGAUCUGGAAAAACAAUCUCAUUGUAUGAUUCCACAACAACGGGUUUCUUGGUUGACUGAGGGCCAGAUUCAUCUUCAGGAUACAACUUCAAAUGGUGAUACCUAUAAAUAUUGAAGCCUAGUUAGUAAACAAGGCACCACAUCAAGUGAGCGACCAAAUAAACAACUCACAAAUCCAACUGCUUGUCGCAAACGUCACUGUGGAAGAAAAGGCUAAUUCCAAUUUCAAAUUCACCCCAACCACAUUCUGAUAACUCAAAAGGUGGCGAUUCAACAAUUCUUGUAGGAUUAUUGAAACUGGGAUGCAGUUGAAACACAACAUGCUUUAUCACCGCUCCAAGAUCUUCAUUUGUAGCCCCACGCACAUAAACAGUCCACUUAUGCGACUGCGACCUAAUUGAAGGGGAUAAAUCUAUUUAACCUUAGUCUACCACAAAACAAGAAAAGAAAAAACGAAAAUUUAUAUCAUCGAAAAACAUACUCGCUAGCCUUUCGACCAAGAUAAAAAGCAAUAGUUCCAUAUACAAUUGGAACACAAAUCUCAACAUCUUUAACUCUCCUGUUUGUACUCUACAAAUUAUUCAGAAAACAAAACAAAUAACGUCAUUACAAUGGAGAUAGAGCUCAACAAAAACAAAAGGAAAAAUCUUUCUAAGCAAUAAAGAAACCAAAUGCCAGUUCAACAUUUCCCAGCUCUUGUUUUCAAAUGUUAAAGCAAAAUUAUGCUUUAACUGUAAUUAAGAAUAGAAAAUUUCAGUUCCCAUGGACUUAAAAAACCCCACCAAAAAAUUGAAUGAUUUCAAAAGCGUUAAAAAACUGCUACUACUUCCCUGGUACGAUGCAAAAGGAAUAAUCUUCCUAAAAACUUGAGAAAACCCAGAAAAUUUGAAACUUCGUUUUCGUAGGACAUGCAGAUAAAAGCCGCCAAACAUAAUUGAAGAAGCCAAAAAAAAGGACCUUUUUGUCGAUAUCAUCAGAGGUUUUGCCAAGUUUGAUGAUGCGCUGCGGCUUUGAAGCAGACCCACCAUCUUCAGCUUGGGCUUCGAUAGCCGUAUGAGGCAUUUUAGCAGACAGUUGACGUGGGAUCAAAACCAGAAGCCAAUGAAGAGUUUCACUUUCAAUUCAGGUAUUAGAAUUUAGGGAUUUGUCUGAUCAAUUUUGAGCAGGGGAAUUGGGGUUUUAGAGAAGGAAGUCUGGGCCAUUUUUCAUUUUGUUAUUCUUGCUACGUCAGCUGUCAUCUAGACGGAUGUGUCGUACCUUGGAGUCGUCAAAAUAACAGCAGUGUCAUUUGUCUUGUCUUGACGAAGGAUAUAUGGUCAAAGUCCAUUUGGUGUUUCCUUGUUUCCUCUUUUUUUUUCCCUCUAAAAUUUAACAAUGUCAAUAAAUGGGAUGGCAUACAAUCCAAGUUAUUCGACUCAUAACCUGAGCUUGGAAUCAAAGAAUAACCAUCAUCUUGAAUCUUUGUCAUGAUAUGUUUUAGAUAUGUAAUCCAAGUCAUCCAUCUAAAAAGCAUAGAAAACAGUUUGUAAUCCAGUGCCAGCCUACAAGGAACAAAUUUUCAUUGUGUUUAUCACAACAGAGCAUUAUAAUUUCAUGCUGAAAUGAAAAAGGUCAGUGGAGAGGGUGGGAUGUUUGACAAACAUAGUGACAUCUCUACCCUUACAGAAAAGAUGGAAUACACCAAAUUCGAGUUCCAAUAGCACAACAAUAUGCACCCACACAUCAUGUUUCAAUGUUUGAAAGCACAACAAUGGCACUAAUUCAAGUUCCCUGGUCUCUUCAUAGUGUUACACUUUCAAGAAAGUAUCCGUUACAAAUUUGCCUUCUCUGGAUGGUCAUCUAGUCCGCUGGAAGUAAACAACCAGGCACCAAAGUGCGACAGGCAGCAGAACGCAAUAGCUAAUCAGAUCAGAUCAAAUAUUCGAAGCACUUAAGGCCAUUACUUUGCAUUGUUCAUUCAUGGCCAAAAGCUGAGCUUCUUUCUUGUCAAGAAGGGCAGUCAACCUCACAUUCUCUUCCAUAAGCUUCUGAACUUCAGCCUCUUUCUGUUUUUUCUCGCCCUCUAGCUGCGUUGUCUUGGCAACUAGCCUGAUUCACAUCAAAAUAAGGAUAGGCUCAUGAAUAAGAUUACCAACUAAAAGAAGCUAGUGUAAAAGAAAGACAUUCAAUAGUAGUGUCAAAUACCACCACUCCCCAGCAUAUCCUCCUACCUACUCAGAUGCAAAAUGCAGUUUUGAACAUAUAAAUCAAGUUCACACCUAUACUGACAUAAGCCCUAAAAUUGCAAACUAGCCAAAAAAAUACAACUCCUCAAAUUGGGUUCCUCGGUAGGACAAAAGCAGAGUGAGCAUAGGAAACCUACCGUCAAACAAACACCUGAUUGAUAGUUGAAAAGCAAUGAGUGCAAUGAGAGAUCCAUGUCAUAAUUUGCCAAAAAUAUAGUAAUAUAUAAAUUACCAAAGAGUGUAGUAAUGAUACAAUUAGUGUGGUUUGAUACGGACAUAUAUGAAGGAACAAAAUUCAUAUUAAUUGCUGGGCAUGCUGAGAAUGGAACAGACAUUUAAGAAACAAGAACAAGUAUAGUCAAGGAAAUCAUAGAACUCAAAAAUCAUACUGACCGUUCAAAGUGCCUUUCAAUGGUUUGAAAUUGCUUCUCUGAUGAAAGAAGUGUUUCUCUUACACUAAUGAGACUGCUAACAUAAGAUUUCAGGGACUCAAAAUCCUGCUUCACACGAGAAAGCUCCUGUUCAUUUUCAGCAGCUCGUUGCCUCUGUCUAGAAGUUUCUUCCACCAAGUCCUCAACCCUCUGCCUCAUUUCAUUAAGAAUACUAUUUGUACCCAGAGCAAACCUUUCCAUCUCUUCCAACUUUAUAGACAUAUUCUCAAUUUGGACUGUCUUCUUUUUAAUUUCUUCCUCGCCUAAAGUAGCCUUUUCUUUCUCAAUAGCAGUUUCAGAUUCCGCCAUGAUGACCCUCUUAACAAGAACUUCCAUUACAUCCGUGACCAUUUGCACAGACUUGAUUAAUUCACCAAUAUAGGCUCCAUCUUGUUCAUCCAAAGAACCUUGUUGUCUACUAAUUCCAAUCCAUGUUUCUUCAUCAGUACAAUCAAAUGAAGAGAGAUCAACACUCCUUGACCAACCAGACAACGGUGUACCUUCUUUAUCCACAAGCCCCACCCCUUCUAAUAGUUUGAUGCCACAUGAUUUAUGGGCUAAAUCAGGAACAGCCAAUACUCUUGCUUUUGAUUUCAAGUAAGUCAAUAAAGUUGCAGUAGUUUUUACCCUUCGCCAAAGAACAUCCAACUCCUUCUUUGAUUCCUCCUUCGACCCCUGAAUGCAUGCCUUUACCUCCACAAUUUUGGCUUGUAAUACAUCUACUUGGCUCUGGCAUUUUUCCAUCUCAUGCUUCCACAUUUCAUGAGUUUCACUUAGCUGAGACUGCAGAGUUAACAAGUCGAGAUCAUCCUCAGCUGCCAUGCCCUUUCCUAAGUUAUAAAAAACUAGGAAUGAGAUCACAGAUGUUCAAUGGCAUAACAACUCAUAAUCACAACACAAGCAAUAAAGAUGCAAGUAGAACACAUCAUUGUUGCAAAAGGAAAGGGGUUGCAAAGCCUAAAGGGCAAAAGGAAAGGGGUUGCAAAGCCUAAAGGGCAAAUAUUAUGUACAACAAGAUGUAUGCUAAAAUCCAAUACCCACUCGACCCAUCACAACCCCCCCCACAAAAAAGAAAAAAAAGAAAAAGAAAGAUGCAAAGCUCCCCAUGGAUUUAAUUCACAAAUAGGUUUCCGUCACACUUUCCACAGUUUAGCACCCCAGUGAUGCAAACUUUCAAUGCUAUUAACCAAAACUAGACUCUAUAUCAGACGAAAAUUGCAUGCCCAGGCAAGAUCUAGUUCUCAUAGAUUGCUAUCUUCCAAAAUCCAGCAUCACGAUAGAUAGUAGGCAAUAACAAUGUCCAUAUCCAGUUGAACCAUUUCAUUCCAACUAUGCUGGUUCAAGAUGCUAGGAGAAUGUCUUACAUCAAUCAUGAUAAUAUACUCAACCCAAAUAAUGUUUUCCAAAUCUUAUCUUCAAAACCUGGCAUGAAAAUAAAACAACCAGGCAAUCCCAUUAAAGCUAGCAUUACUUUCUUACAGAUGAAUGUCAUGCCUUUUGUAACAUCAAGAACAUUUGCUACCCAUAUCUUCAAGUUAAUUUUUUAAAGUCUCUUUCAGCUUUCAAAAACAUAAAUUCACUCCAAGAAAUUAGGGUAAGAAAUUCACCAACAUCAUUACCAUAAGGAAAGCAAAAAAAAAAAAAACCCAAUUCCACGAUCUGAACCAUCAAAGCCCUAGCAAACCACAAUGACAUGAAAAUAAGCCAGAAAACUGCCAAAAAGAACCCUAUUCCAAUUACCCAUUUACUGAUCAAACACAAAAACGCGUUAAGACAAAAAUCGAACCCUAACCCAUCAACGGAAACGACAACAGUCAAAAUUUCCGACCAGAAAAAAAAAACAAAAAAUUCAAACUUGAAAGGAAAAAAAAAUCACAUUUUCAUCUAAAAAGAAAAGAAAAAUAGAAGGCAAUGAAAGACAAACCCAAAAAGCUUCUACCUUUCUCCAUUUCGGAUUGGAUAGAGCUUGAGAGAGAGAUGCAGAGAAAGACAGAACCUUGUGAUUGGAGGAAAAGGAAAGGAAUAGCGUGGGGUUGACUGCACAAGAUAAUUCCAGGGCACCAGGGGAGAGGCUUUUGUUUUUUGUUGUUAUUCUUCGUUCAGAAAAGCCUUUUUUUUUUUUUCUAAACUAAGGACAUGUUUGGCAGCUGGGCAAUUUCUCCUUUCUCCUUUUUCUUCUUAAUAAAAAAUUGUUUUCUAAAACUAAUAAAUAAUAAUACCCACAACACAAACAAUAUUCUAAAAUUUUAUUUGAAUAAUAAAAUAAACACUUUCUAGUUUUCUUUCACAAAGAUUUUUUCUUUUUGACUUUUUGUUGACGUACUGAAAAUUUGGACAAAAGCAAACAUGUCUUUAUUAUUUAUUCUUCUAUUUAUUUGGAAAUAAGCUAGCAGUAGUAUAAUUAGAUGGCAUGUAUGAAUACUUGUUAAUGGUGAAUGAAAUUUUCAAUUAAAAAAAAUGUGAGAAUUAAUGACAUAUAUCAUUUUUUUUUUUUGGCAUCAUUUUACAAGACUCAGAUUUGAUUUAACUUUGACAAGAAAUGUAAAGAACAACGGAAGCUUAAUGAAGCUAUAAGAUUCCAUUCAAAAACUAGAAAAAAAAAGAAAAAAAGAAAAGAAAAGGCAUUAGGAAAAGCUCUUUUGGCCUGUGAAAGAAUCAGAGAGCCCAAGAGGAAGUUUUUCAUUUUUUCUCAUGUAUCUUAUAACUAUGAUUUACAGGCUCAAAACUUGCGAAGAUCAUCUGGCUUGUAGGAAUUCCCACUGCUAUAUAGUGUUUUAGUCUGUGAUUUGAGCAUGUAUCACUAUAUAUAGCCUAUAGCUAGGAAUACAGAAGCCACAGGAUGCUGCAGUGAGUUCCAUUCUAGGAUCCAUAUCAGGCCAACUGCAAUGAAAGGAUAUUUCCAACUAUAAAAAUAGGCUGCUGUAACAUACUAUCAGAAUUAAAACAACGCACAACUUAGUAGUAGCUAGUAUAUUACCAAACUAGUACAUUUCAACUUUAGGUGAAGGGGCCAGGGCUCCAAAAACAGAACCCUAACAAAUGGAAGGAGACCUAAAAACUUGCGUGAUGAUCGGUAUGACCUGCAUUGUAUGGCAGAUUAUUCUCGAGCAUUCCGAUUGACAGACUACCAGAAUUCUGGUAACAGGGCUAAAUGACUCUGGCUUAUUGUUUAAGCCUAUGCUUGGUCUUGUAUCUUUUUCAUGUAAUCAAAUUAUUUUGUACCAUAUUGAACAUUUAGUAAAUUUUUAGUUCCUGUGAAGAAGAAGAAGAAGUAUUUGAGCCUUGGCAUAAUAGACAGAUUACAAAUAUCAAUAUCUUGAGAGAAGUUUAAAGCUGGACUUCGGUUGCAAGCUUAGAACUAGACAAGGAAUGAAAUAGGAUUGAAUCAGGAUUUGGGUCAAUAAAAUGCUUUCCAAGGUAGAAUAGGGUGGUGAAAAUAACAAAGCUCAAUCAUUUUUUCUUUUUCAAGAAGGCAAGUGAUGAACUCCUAAAUGGAUUUGGCUACCAGGAAAGGUUGUAAAAUGUAAUAUUUCAGCUGGUCCUCUGAUAUCCUUUAGAAACAAUUAGAAUCAGUGUUCUCCAAGAAAUUUGGAAUCAGUUUUCCUGAUCAACAGAUGCAGGAGAUGGAUCCCAUUUUCCUACAUGCGACCAGAUGGAUCUUGCUAAUCUGGUGUUCCACAAUUUCCAUCAAACUGGUACUUACUGCCCAGGUUAUUUUCAGAAUAAAUAAUGUACUUCAGAUAUCCUACUUACAAAUUACAAGAGAGUUUCUAACUCUGGGUAGCAGUAAGGAGGUGUGGAUGGGAUGCUGUUGAACUUCUUUACUAGACUAAUGCAUAUUUAACAGUGGGAUAAAAUGAAUCAAAGCAGCCCAUCUACCAAAGACCUCUCAUGGAAAUAACUCAAUUUUGCCUCAGUGCUUGAGAUGUUUUCAGAAUGUUUUUGGGUCACAACCUUCAUUUUCUGAAUUUGGAGGGAUUUCUUUUGUAGCUCUGGUUUUUCUGUGUGGCAACUUUCCAUCUCUUUCUCCAUCUCAAUUUCUUGAAGAUUUUUCCUCUUGUCUUCCUUGAGGGUGGAAGAACGCCUGACUAAUUGCACUGCCUCAAUAAUCUCAUCUAGUCUCUUAUGGAGCCAACUGAUUUGCAGUUUGACUGAUUCCAAAUCAGAAACAGUUGUAAGCAAGGACUGGAGCUCAAGUUCCGUUAUGCCUUCCAAUUUCACUGCUUGUAGUUUUUGGAUAAUGCCACAGGCAAUCUCAAGGAGAGAUGAACGGCAUUGCAUUGAAUUCAAUGUGCUGUUGGCAACAAUGUCUCCAUGCUUCAAAAGAACUGCACUAAGGAUGGGUGUUAGUUCUGCCUUUACUGUAUACUCACCUACUGUCAUUGCAUUAGAACCAACAACGGGAAAUGUAAUUGCAUUAUGAUUUGGAGAGUCACCAUUGGUCAUAUCAGUUUUAGUGGAAGCCUUGCUUUGACAUCCUUUCUCCUGCUUGUUAUUGUUACCAUCUUCUCCCUGUGGCUUUGUCUUUUCUGGAGUUGCCUGUGACUCCUGAUGGGGGCAAAACAAGUGCAAAAUACAGCUAAAAAUGAAAAUAGUAAUUCACUAACUGCUGCCCGCAAGUCACUCAUGCCAAGGGUCUGUCUGAUCAUGCAUUAGACAUUGAAAUUAAAUACUAGUAAACUAUGCAGUUAACAUAUACUAUAUAGGACAACUAUAACUUGGUUUCAUUAAUCUAAAGUGAACAAAAGUCGCAUCCUUUUAGACUAGAAAGCUACCUUUCUGCCAGGCAGGAGACACCAAUGAUAACAGUCCAUGGUCAUAGUAAACUCCCAUUUUCAUAUUAACUCACCAUUGCUUUCAUAUUAACUCAUCAUUGCAACAGUUACAAAGAUAGGAACACUAGUCCUCUGCCUGAACAUAUUUGCUAUUAUACCAUUUUUUUCUGCUGUCUGCGAGGCUAAAAUUAUUGUAAUAUAGCUUUGAAUUUCAAUGAAACUUCCAGAUUCUAAACCUGAAAGACCAAUUUUAAUAAGCAAAAUUCCAGUAGUCAAUAGGAUGACCUGACAUCGAAUAUACCUUGUUCAGAGCAAAGUCAUUUUAAAAUGCAGAUCGGCCAUGAAAAGCAACAAAAUGCUAAAUAAAAUAUGGGAGAGGGUCAUUUGGCUUUCUGCGGUGUUGCUUUAUUGACCCAAACCCAUGGUUUAACUACAUUCAUGUGUAUGUUAUUAUGUCAAAUAAUGAUGCAGUGCAACUAUGAUUCAAUGAUACAGUUUCUUGUUUUCCUGCACUCUAGCCCCUUUUUCAAUUUCAACUAUGAUGAUGCAAUGCAACAUAAAUUUAUCAAGCAGCUUAAUAAUAUCAACAUGAAUUGGCUGAAAAUGAAGUUACCUUGCUCUCUAGAAACUGAAUUAGGCCCUCUAGACAAGUUUUGGAAUCUUUGGACUUCAAUAGUUCACCAGCAACUUCAGCGGGGGACACUUUAAUCUGUCCUAUAAUCUUUUCAAUCCGAGAAAAAAGAUCAUGAUUCGAAAUGCCAAGGUAGAUGGCUGCGAGUUGCUUGAAGGUAGAGAAUGUGCAAUAUGACAAGCAUAUGUGCUUGUCCAUGCGACCUGCUCGCAACAGCGCUGGAUCAAUUCUGUCCUUAUAGUUGGUGGUGAAAACAAUUAUCCUCUCGUCUCCGCAGCAUGACAAUAGGCCGUCAAUGGCAUUCAAAAGUCCAGAGAGCGUCACCUGAUGAAAUGACGAUGGAACACAUAAAAUUGAAGAGACUUAAUACACAGGGAAGAAUCAAGUCAAGAUGAUCAUGAAUUACAUAUUUUGUCAAACUAACCCUACAGGAAAGCAAAUUCAUUAGUUCAAAAACUUCCAAAAUCUUUAAGAAUGACUAGAACAAAUAAAUGAACAGUCAAGCAGGAUACAGAAUCAUUCCAAUAUAUAACAUAAUGAAAUUCUGGGCAUUUACUGUCUUUGACUUUCAGUCAAGAAAAAAGACAUUUCCAGAAUAUAGAUAUACAAGCAUAAUAAAAAGCUUAUCUCCAAGAUCAGAUUACUAUCUAGUUUAUGUGCAUCUAUAUUGAGUUGAGAAAAUACGACUAACCUGGAGAUGUGGAUAACUCGCCGUUUGAUCCCCUGCUUCCCUGUUUUGUAGUUUGACUGUACAGUCAAUAUCUUCAAUCACAAGAAUGGAAUGAUUUGACACAUGAAGCAACAAAUACUCAAGAGAUGAGUCCGACUUGACUGCAGAUAAAUUCAAGUUGAAAAUAUCAAAGUUCAGAUGAUUUGCCAUGGCUGCAAUGAAACUUGAUUUUCCAGUUCCUGGUGGACCAUGUAGCAAGUAACCUCGCUUCCACACUUUUCCAACUUUCUUGUAGUACUCCUUGCCAUUGAUAAAGCUAUCAAGAUCCUCCACAAUAUCCUUCUUGUGGUCUCCAUCCAUGGCUAGAGUGUCAAAUGUCAUGGGAUGCUCUAGAUUGACACCUUUUGAGCACCAACUCUCACUUCUGAUAGUGUGAAAUUUCACCAUCCGGUUCCGGUCUUUCAGUUUUUUGGCCAUGUCAAUGACAUGAGGGAGAUACUCGCUCUCUACCAUCUCAGCGUGCUUUUUCUUACAACUAAGCUCGUACCACCUUGAUUCAGCUGUCAGUUGAAUAUUACUAUUUGUGUUAACAUCGGAAUAGUAUUUCCAUUUCAUGGGAACACCGUGGAAGAAAUCCACAAUCUCCGAGUGUCUAUCAAGGCCAAAUGUGAACUGCCUUACAUUCUCAUUCUUGCCUACAGUGAGCCGUUUGAGAGAACCAUCAGCAGAAGAAGCAGACAGCACAUGGCUACCCAGGUACGCCAUGGCAGCCUUGUAAAUAUGGUUGCCUGAUCCAUGGUGUGAUUCUUCUAUAACCAAGGUGAAUUCUGGUGAGAAACGGCGAAUGAGACUCCAGAAGUACUCUCUUAUUUCGUUUGGAAAGAAUUCAUUGAAUGUGCUGCGGAUAAUGGUGAAAGCAGCCAACACUGAUAGUGUUGAUGCCAUAGCAAGUUUUAGCCUACUGAUUUCCUUUCACUAGUAGCAAUUCUUUGGGCUAAUUUAUAAAGGACAGAAGUUAUAGAAAAGGAGCUCUACUUUCUAUUCAUCACCGCCUUCUGGUUUGUGACAGAGAAAUUUCCUUGUUUUCUUUUUGAUACACUGCCCAGAGAAAUUUCCGUGUUAAAAACUCAUGAUGUUGAAAAAAAGACGAUAAAGACAUAAAGUUCAGUCCUACAUUUUCCCUGUCUGCAAGUCUUAUUUGGUCAACAAUGGAGAUUAUAAUAGCAUCUGAGCGUACCUAUCCACGCAGGAGCCACACUUAGCAAAAACGGAAUCAAGCUGAUAAAAGUAGGAUCAGUUAAAUUGAUAGAAAGGAAUCGAAAGCUCAUGCUUGGACAGAAAUGCACGAAUAUAAUGUACUACUAUUUUCAAGUUCCAGCUCUUUCUGCCGUGAAAAUUCCGUUCGUUAAGUGUCAAUCUCAGUCUUGUCCUUUGGGCCUUGGCAAUCCUGCCAUACAAAAAAAUACAUCUCUGUUCACUUCACCCUUGUGGAAAUUAGAGCAGACAUUAAUAAAUCUUGUCUUUAAAUUUUUUUAUAAAGUUUUCUUUAUCUUGCUUUUGACGUUUGCCAACACCUUCGCUUUACGCUGGAAGAAAAAAAAAAAUUGAAGAUUGGAUGAAUGAUAUAUGAAGUUGCAGCUGGCGGCUAUGGUUUGGCAGCUAAUGACUCUAUGGGUUUCAUUCGCUACAAGUUGAUAAAGUGCCAUUCACUUCUGGUCCAGUUUACCCUUCUUCCUGGUCCCAGCCCAAAAGAAAAAACAAAGGUUAAUUGUCCUAAAAGGAAAAAUUUCAGAUGAAGCAAAGAGUUCCACGGCAAAUGCUAAACCUGUCCAAAGAACCUAAAGUGCUACAAAGAAAUACAUGGGACAAAUGUCAUAAAUCACAAGUAAUGCCAGCUUAUUCUAACAAUGCUUAAAAAAAUAAAAUAGAGGAGAAAAGCAUGCUUAUAUAGAUAAUGAAGUGGAUUUGGCAGUCAUUAAAGUGUCAUUACAAUUUAAAGGAUCCCUUUUCAAUUACUAUAUUUUAAUUACCAGUAAACAUCUUCAGUAUGUUUAAAAGAGUAUUCUGUCGACGCAAUCCAUCUCCUAUUAACCUAAAGAUCUCCAAGUUGACCCUAGCAUCCGGGAAAUAUUUAGUGAGUUUCUUAUAUUUUGGCCAUCAUCUCAGCCAGUUUAUUCAGAAUCGGACUGGAUUUCUUUUGCAGCAGUGUUAUUUCUUCUUUGUAGCUUAAUAGCUCCUUCUCCAUGUCUUCAAUGACUUCUAGGAUAUUAUAUCUGGAAGAUUGGUCCUGGAUCAAAUCCUUCUUGUCAAAGUUGUUGCUACCUUCUUCUUGCGGUCAAUUCUCAGUUAAAUUUGAUUCUGUUGUGGACUUCUGUUUAUCAGCUGAAACAUCUAGGUUGGCACCUGGGGACUUUACAUCGUCCAUACUAGUUUCAUUGGAUGCCAAAGGAAUGGAAAUUGAGGAUUCCUGGACUUGGCAAUUUGAUGGAUGAGAAUGCCUGGGACUAUCUUCAGAAUUGCCAUCUGCAAGCAACUGCAGAAAACUCCCAAUUAAUCACAUUCAACAUGAGGAAGAUAACAUGAACAAUAGAUAGAAUCCAUGUUCUUUCAGAGUAAUCGGCACUCAUCAAGCCCUAAAUCUAGACAAGUCAUUAUGAAAAACAGUCCAGAAGGGACUAAGUCAAAGUAAAACUACUAAUUUUCCUAAAAAAAAAGACAAUGCUUCUAUUUACCUUUUCCUCAAGAUGAUUGAUCAGGCCCUCGAGAGAAACCUUAGGAUCCCUUGUCUUCAUCAGUUCACCAGCAACCUCCGCAGGGGAAACUUCAACCUUUGUUAGAAGCUUUUCCAUGUGAUUGAAGAGACUGUGAUCAGAAAUCUCUAAAUACUUCAAAGCCAAUUGCUUGAAGGAAGAGAAACUGCAGUAGGUCAGGUAGAUGUGCAUGUCCAUGCGACCAGCUCGAAGUAAUGCAGGAUCAAUCCGAUCUUUGUAAUUGGUAGUAGUAACCAGAAUCUUUCCCUCCCCACAGCAGGAUAGGAUACCAUAAAAAAAGUUCAGGAGUCCAGAAAGCGUCACAUGUGAGGACAACAUGAAAGAUGGACAUAGCUAAAGUUAAAAUUUGGAGUUAUAAAUCAAUUGCUUGCGGACUGCAUUUAUUGUUUCAGGAUUUAAAAAGAAAAGAAAUUUAACCAUGAAAUUCAGAAAAGAUUUUUCAAUUUCUUUAACCAGGACAUUCAAAUCGUACCCUUGGAUCCAUAAUCUAGAGACUAGAUUAGCAUUUAGAGUUCAUUGGCAAGAAUGUGCUCAUAUGAACCAAUCAAACCGAUCUAAACAAGUUUAACUCCUUUAAGAACAUUGACAUUUUAAUAGCCCCAAUUUCAAUGAAUUCACAGAUUUCAGAAUUCUGCAUAUUAGAGCCCCAUUUCCAGUUCAAGACCGUUAAUUCUAUCCCAUAAACAUAAAUAUCCAGUUAAGUUCAAAUUUAUUUUGGUUAUGUAAAAUUGUAUUAUGAUUGCAUAAUUUUGUAUUAUAUCACAGACUAGCCUUGUUCUGCUGCCGAUACUUUAUAGCUUGCUCUACCCCUGAUUCUCUGUUCUGCAGCUUCUCACAGCAGUCUAUAUCUUCUAUCACAAGAAUGGAACGAUUGGCCAUGCUAAGUAACAAAUUUUGUAAAACAAAGUCUGAGGAUACAGCUGAGAGAUUCAAAUUAUAGAUAUCAGAAUUUAGAUGAUUAGCCAUAGCAGCAAUCAAGCUAGACUUUCCAGUGCCUGGAGGCCCAUAAAACAAGUACCCUCUUUUCCAUACUUUUCCAAUCUGUUGGUAGUAUUCCUUACUAUUCAUGAACGUGUUGCGAUCCUCCACGAGUAUGUUCUUGAGAUCACCAUUCAUAGCCAAGGUCUCAAACGUCAUCGGAUGCUGAAUUAUCACAGGUUUUGAAGUCCAAACAUCAUGAGCAGCCGUGUGGAGCUUCACCACCUGGUUUCUCUCUUUGAUCUUGUUGGCUUUUUCCAGGAUGUGUGGCAAAUAAGACCUGGUGACCACGUGCUUGCACUCUUUGUGAAAUGACAGCUCGUACCAUCCGAUCUCCUGCUUAAACAUUCCUUGGCUAUAUUCAGAGAAGUACUUCCACUUCAAUGGUACAUGUUCGAAGACACGCCUCGAUAUCAAGACGUAACACAGUCGUAUUAUCUUGAAAAAAAUCUCAAAGUAAUACAAAAUUUUUUUUCUUAAACAUUCUAAAAUUUUUCAAUAAAACAAUCUACCAAGUAAAAUCUAUAUGUUUAAUCCAACUGAUAAUACAUCUUUAUAUAUCCAAAUACAAACCAUAUAAAAUACAUAACUAUCUCUUAAGAUUUCAUUGGCCAACAUAUUCUCCGAUGACUAAGUAAUCUUUCCCAUUUCAUCUUUUAGCUUCACACAAGACUAACCAAACUUAUCACUUAAUCAUCUGUAAAGAAAAAGUAAAAAGGAAAUGAGUAAAUCAUAGCUCAGUAAGUAUAGGCUCACACACUUUAUCAGAUCAAGCAUCAUUUUCUUACACAUCAUAUAGAUCAUUUAAAACAUUCAUCAAGUCAUAAUAUCAAAACAUUUCAAAAUUAUCGUUUUGUCAAAUAUUUCAUAAAUUCAUAAAUCAAUGUCAAAAUAUGUCACUUCAUAAAUCAUUGCAAAAUAUGCUAUCAUUCAAAUAUCAUAAUCAAACCAAAUCAUUGAUCAAUCAUUAAAAAUCAUCGCAAAUCAUCAUCAUCAUAAAUCAUCAUUAUCAUUGGUUUAUCGUUAACUACGGUCACUGUUAUAACCCGUGAUAUUGGUCGUAUCGACAAUUUCAUCCUUAUGAUCAUUGCUAAUUAUUAUAACCCGCUAGCCAGGGCCUUAUGCUAACUACUAUUACCCAUUAGCCAGUGUCGUAUGAUCAUGUCUUUGCUAAUUACUAUUACCCGUUAGCCAGGGUCGUAGAACUAAUUCUGGUGUCGAUAAUCCCACUUCCCUGGGAUGUAAACAUCAUAAAAUCAUUUUCUAAACAUAAAUCAUUUUCUCAUUUCAUUCAUAAGCAUGAUCCAUCAUUUAUAUAGAGAAACACAAAAUAAUGAUAUGCUAGAUCCUAUUUUCAUACAUCGAAAAUAAUAAAAUAAAAUAUUCAUUCAUUUAGAAACAUACAAACAUACAUUGAGUCGAAAACAAAUAAAGUGUGUGAGAUUCUAUUUACCUCCAUUCGAUUCCACCACUUAGUUUUUCCCCCAAAAUAAUUAAUGGUCUAUCCAAGAUCAUUUUAACAUAUCAAAAUUUAAUCAACCUUUUUUGAGACCAUUUAUACAAAAAUCAAUUAAGUUACACAAAGAUUAACUUAAUUAAUUAAUAUUAGCAGCCUGACCUCUUUUAAUUAAAACAGUCAUAUCUCAAUAUAUCCAAAUCAGAAUUAUGAUCUCUUUAAUGCGUUAGAAACUAAACUUGAUAAGCUUUCUAACCAUAUAUGGCACACCUCGUAAUUCUUUGUAGAUUAAUUAUAACAAUUUUUGAAAUUCACGUCAUAUACUACUAUCAAACAACCUGUAUACUUUCUAAUAAAAACUAUAUAUUAUUCAUAGAAAACUCCAAAUUCAAUUCUGCUUAUUUCAUUGGAAAGUAGACACAAUAAGCUUUCUAAACAUAUAUGGCUUAAUCUGUAAAUCUUUGUAUACAAAUUAAGAAGAAUUUCAUAAUUCAACCAUGAUACUAUUGUCUUACAGCCUGCAUAUCUUUAAGUUAAAAUUAGACAACUAUUCAUAAAAAACUCAUAUUUGACUUUCGUUUGUUUAAUUAGAAACUAGAUUCAACAUGCUUUCUAAUGAUAUAUAAUAAUUACAGCAAUAAUCUAUCCAUUAAUACAAAAUUUUAUUUUAAUUCAUUAUUCCAGAUCACAACAUCUCAUUCAAAAAUAAAAUUUUUCAUUCGAUCUUUAAAAACUCAAAUCCUUACUUUCAACCUUCAAAUUCCAUUCAAUAAUCAUCGAUAAAUCUUAAAAACAUGGAAUAAACAAAGCCCAAUAAUUUACUCAAAUAGAUCAUCAAGAUUAAUGAAGGAUUUCAUGAUUUUUCUUGAUUUUUCUCUCAAAACUUUAACUCCAAAUAAUAACAAUUAACUUGAUAAUUCUUCUUAAAUAAAAAAAAGACAUGUACUUACCUUUAAGGGAUUAACUUGAUUGUAACCUUUGUUUGUGAAUCUCCAACUUGAUUUUUUUAUAUUCCUAACCCUAAGGAAGAUGAGGAAGAAAAACUUUAUUUCCUUUCUAUUUCACGAUAAUUAGGUUUUCUUUCAUCUAAUAUUUCAACAAUUUUUUUUUUACUAAAUAAUAUCUUAAUAAACUGAUAGACUUUAGUAUUAGUCUAGCUCAAUUAUUAUUUGAGCCGGGUAUUACACAAUCAUUUCUGAGUUUUUAUCCACGGAAAAGGUAAGAUUCCUCACGGUCUUUGUCUUUUCUACCAUCUCGCGAGGGGUUGAAAUGGUGGGUAGUACUUCUCCAAGGUAAAGAUUAGCAGCCUGAGAAAGCUGCUUUGAUUGUCUCGAAACACCAUUGUCUCCUCUGUGGUGAAAUGGCUAGUCCACUCCUCAAAGCGUGAAGAGAUGUAUAAGGGCAGUGUUUCAGGGAGGUAGUUGUAGAGAGUGCUGCGAAUCAGAGUAAGGGAAGCCAAAAACGCCCACAACGAGUUCAUAUUGGCCUUGCAAUCUUUCUUUCACCUGUAUGCCCAGUGCAUCAGUGCUUUGAUGGCUUACAGUUUACACCCCAAAUCCACAACCUCACUGUUUUAGAAUGAGGAGUUCCAGCCUUCCAGGCUUCAACUAGUAUCUAAAGUUUUGGACUUUUAGUCUUUUUCUCUUACAGAAAAAUUUAAAAAAAAGGAAAGAAGACAAUCAGUGUACCAUGAAAUGAAGAAAGUAAGUCUGACAUCACUAAAAAGAAAGUUGGCGUUUUCCACAAUGAGUUUUCCUACAUCAGCAGAGCAGAUUUGACGGUACUUUGAGCUUUAGACUUCACUACCAAUAUCUACUUGGAUUGUCUAGUUUUUGAGUCAUACUACCACUCAAGCCUUGGCUUUAUCCCUAGUGCAGUCCACAGUGCAUCUGCAAAGAUUAGCCAAUUUUGAAUUUGCCUCCUCACCUCUCAAUAUCCACAUUGAUAGCAAAGUCUAGGCGCGAGCGAACGGUUGUGACUCGGGAAUCUUGAUUAUUGAUUUUGAGCACGCGAGCGACUCUUAGAAGCAAGUUUUCUUGGGCCGAAAAAGCAAAAGUUUUUGGGCCGAAAAAGAUAGGCCGGAGUCCUGAAACUAAAACAGAGUCCACAUAACCGUAACACCAAGGAAGAAUAUGAGCUUGAUGGCCCUGAUUAUUGACCUGCUUUAGGCCCUGUCUGAGAAAGACUUUUCUCUUUCACCAUAUUGAUUGAACACGAUCGAUCCCAACUCCGAAGACUUCGAUAUAAUUUUCAGCAGUUUACAUUUUUCUACUGCGUACACCCUCCUUUCUUUGGCUUCUAGAGAAACAAGCUCAUUAGUCCUAGUCUCAUAGCUCUUGCUAUUAUUUGAGUUACAUAUAAACAAACGAAGAAAGGCUACAAGAGAAAGAGAGAGAGGGAGAGAGGAGGAGGAAUGGGAGAAGGAAGAGAAGGAGACUGGGAGUGCAGCGGAUGCAAGAACAGGAACUACGCUUUUAGAUCUUUCUGUAACAGAUGUAAACAGCCUCGUCUUCUGGUUGACAUCAAAACUCCAGCUGACUCUAAGUGGCUUCCUCGUAUUGGUGAUUGGAUCUGCACUGGUCAGUUUAUACUUCUAUCGAAAACCUAUCUUCCAGUGGUUUUUAUUUUAACAUCUUCUCUUCUUGGUCGUGUUGACUCAACUGGGUUUUGCUCUUUAUUCUUUUUCUUCUUCCUUUAUAAUUCAAUUAUUAAACUCAAGAAUAGAUAUCUAAGAUGGGUUUUUUUUUUUUUUUUUUUUGGAAACAGUUGGUUUCUGGGGUUUAUAUGGGCUCUGAGUUUUGAUAAUAAGUUCGAAUUUCAUUAGCUGAGAUUUAACAAUAGGCAUGUCAAGAUAAGAUAUUGCUUUUCCCAAGUUAACGUUUGCAGAUAACCAAGAGCUUUAUUGAACUUGUUUCUGCUUUAGUUUUGCUAAUUUGCCAUAAAGCAACUGGUUUUACAUCAAUUGUUGGCAAAGUUGCCAUUGCGAAAACAUAACCCUUUACUGAUGUCUUUUUACGAAUGCAACCCGUUCAAUGAAUGUUCUGAUAUGUGCUUUGUGAAGUUGAGGUUAGGAAAUCUGAAUCAAUUAGGUUGAGUGGUUUGUGUUUUUUGUAUGUGUACUUUGGUAUGCGAUGAACUGGUUGGUGUGCGUAUGCUUGGCUUCCUUGUCCUCUUCGUGGCUGCAUUGUAUUGGGGUGUGUGUGGCAAUGGAUCAAUAGGUUGCACUAACAACAAUUAUGCAUCAAGAGAAAAGUGCAAAAAGUGCGGGCAACCAAAGGAGAUAGCAGCAAUGCCAGCAAUUGCAAUGCCUGGAGCUUCUCUCCCAACUUAUUCACAUUAUUUUGCCAGGGCCCCAGGAGCACUGGAACAAAAGAUGAAUGUUGGAUUUGUAGGCAGCGGUGCUCCCCAACAGUCACUUCCUUUGAGUUCCAACUGGUCUGUACACGGGGCUGAUGAUUAUGGACUUCAAUCAGCUUCUACUUGGCCUGCAGCUGGAAACCAAACUUCUGGGGUUCCAUAUUUGAAUCCUGGUAAUCAGCCUCUUUCUGUUCCCAAAGGAUGGCGAAAUGGUGACUGGAUUUGCAACUGUGGCUUCCAUAAUUACUCUUCACGUUCACAGGUAUUAUCUUACUGCCUAAACUGGAUUCAGCAUUCUUCUUCGUACAUAUCACUAAUUCUACAAAAUAUCUGGUGUCAUUUCGAUUCUGAUCCAGUCUGAUAUUUUUGCAGUGCAAAAAUUGCAAUGCAUCUAUACCACCAGGUACAUUCUGAUUCUGGCCUGUGAAACAAUAUUUUCUUCAUUUUGCUUUUAAUGCUUAUAUUUGAUCUGCUGUUGGUUCUGUUUCCAGUAACUGAGUCUUUGCAUAUUUUUAUUUUCCUUUUUUGGGGUAUAUAGCUCUUGGAACCAAGCGAUUAGCAUCUGAAGAAUUUGUUCAUGACUGGGAUAACAAAAGAUUGAAUUCAGGACAUGUAAGGAAUCAGUGUCUGUCCUGGCAUUUAUAAUUAAUGUUAUUUUCUCAGCAUGCUUUGACUCAUUUAACCACUCCUGAACCACUUUAUUCCCCUUUCCUGGGUUUGCAGGGUAAUGGUCAGCCACAGUUGUACCCUGGAUUUGACCAAAUGGUAGGAGCCACCAAUGACCCAAAACCUGGAGCAUAUCCUCCCUAUCUCAGUCUAAACGCUGGUGCGCCUUCAAAUUGGCAGGCACCCUUUCUAUUUUCUCAUCAAGCUGCAACACCAACCCUUCUUGGAAAAGGGUAAAUGCGGAUUAAGUUGCUCCUUAUCCUUUAUCUUGGACAAAUUAGUUAUUCAUUUUGUGAGGAUAUAUAAUACUUUAUUGUCAAUCUAUGGCAUUGAUAACUUUUUUUUUUAAUUUUUAAAUCCUUUAAUCUUUUUGGAUCUAGCAACUGACUUUUAACUUCUGGAACUGCUCCUGAGAUUAAUUUAAGUUGCUUCUAGAGUGAUAUUUUCAGUUGUCUUACCUCUUAUUGAUUGUAUGCUUGAAAGAAGUAUGCUAAAGAGAUGGUCACUUUGUUGAUACAGCAUUAUGAACUGUUUUUAAAAUCCAAUAAGGUUUAUGUGCAGUUCUUUGUAUUAAAAUGCUGUCAUAUAUCUAGCAAAAAUGAUAUUCAGUAUGAGAAUCCAAGGAUUGCUUUUUAGAUCUACUAAUACUUUGACGUGUUUCAUUUAUCAGAGCAAAGCAAUGGCGUAGUGGAGAUUGGAUGUGCACAAAAUGCAACAAUCACAAUUAUGCAUCUCGAGCUCAAUGCAAUAGGUCAGUAGCUAAAUUAGUGGCUUUUACAUGCUAAAUUAUACAAGCAUUGUGAUCUGCUGAAAUAUGAUGUGGCUUAUACCCAUCAAAGUUUUGAUAUCUGAAGCGAUUUGCUAGUUUUAGAAAUGAAAACUGCUUAACGUAUAUCUGGUUGCCUGCAUAAGAUGUAUGGCUUUUGUUCUUUUUGUCUUUUGUUCUUUUGUUCUGUCGGUGGUUUCCUGUACAGUGGUUAAUCAAAUCAUUGCAUAUAAUAUAAAUGACUAUCAUGGCAGUACUUUUUGAUUCGUUAUAACUUCCUCUUUUGGCGCAUCUCUACAAGGUUAGGGGUGAGUCAGUAAAUGAACCCUGAUCGUUGACCCUCCAUGGGAGGGUAACAAUCAAUAGGUUGACACUGCAGACUUCCCUUAAAGGAAGAUCUGUCACUUUGUUUUGGCGAAAACUCACGGCCUUGGUUGUUAUUUUCCUUCUACAGGUGUAAGACUCAGAAGGAUACCUUGACUCAGCCCGUAAAUGCUGCAUAGUCAUAAUUUAAUGCAGGUUUUGAUUCAUAAAGAUUUUUCUAGUACAUUGGUCGGGUUCUUUUUUUUUUUUUUUUCCCGUGUACAACAAAAACUAAAAGCUCGCUAUAGGUUUGGUUUUAUUAUUUAUGAUAGUUUCCUUUACACAAUGGUGGAGAGGUUUAUAUAACUUUUGUUUAAUAGUAAAUUUUGUAAUUUGACUGGCAUUUCUUGUAUAAAAGGGUGAAAGCCUUGUGUUGUUUACACUUCAAACAGGUUGGACAGAGCUUUAACUGCUAAUGUAGCUUUCUAUUUGUUUCUUUGCGUAUCUGAUAGCAGUUUUGCAUGGUUUUGAACCAGUUAUGUUUUCACAUGCUAGUUGUUGUAAUACAAGCCUUUCAAUCCCAAUAAUGUUAUUAAUUUUCAGCGAAGCAGAGAAUAUCUUAAUGUGUAUGCUUAUGUGACGAAGAGAUGUAUUAUUAAAUUCAAAACUUAACUCGGUUGAUUGAUAUAACUACAGCAUCCAACAGAUUUGAGUUCAAAUUUUAGUAUUUACAACCUCUUCUCUCAGCUUCGGAGAGAUGAUUUAUUAGAAGAAAGAGGGCAUUGCGAAGGAUGUGAGAUGAGGUUAAGGGAUUAAUCAAUAACGAAAUAAUUAAGAAUCAAAUCUUAGAGAUGCUAUAGUGAAAAUGAGUAAAUUUACUCAUCUAGACUAGAUGCUACAAAAUCUUGCAGACUGUAAAAAAGACAUAUUAAUACAUUGCAUGGUGGUAUCUAUCAAGAGCCCUUGAACAUGGAGGUAGGAGACAAAGGAGGAGAAUCGAGUUGGUAAAGAUUGAGUGCAGGUCCAACAAACCGGAAAAGUAUCCAAGCCCCAAUUACAAUGAAAAUGGAAGCAUAGGCAAACUUGUUGAGCCAGAAGAGCAAACCCUUCUCUCCCACAUACAACUCUAUAGCCUUCUCUGUGAUGCUCAUUUCUUCCCAUUUCUUUGGAGUUGGAUCAACUGCAGCCUUUGCCGCCAUACGUUGCCCUCCCUCAAAACCAUCUUCCUGCAGCUUUCUACGCCUCCUUGACCCUCUCUUAAACCGUAUUCCAACGGUUUCCGGUGGCCUUAUUGGUGGUGGUGCAUCGCUGCCACUUGUGCUACUGCUACCGUUAUUGUCAGCGCUGCUGUUCGUGCAACAAACUUUAACAAAACGUCGAUAGCGACGUGUACAGACCUGGGUAUAUGUUCUUGCAGAAGAUGAAGCUUUUGGAAGAACAGGGUUGGUUGAUGGGGGCGACUUUGAAGCGAAGGACUGGAGAAUACUGGUAUCCAUUGCUUGCUUUCAUGUGCUUUUCUUCUCUCCUAGCAGAGCUAUGGAUAUGCUUAUCCUUAGUGGCGUCUAUCAGGCGGAUAUCUUCUGCGGGAGAUAUCAUAUCUCCUUACUUUUAUGUGUUAUCAUUUCGUGCCAUGUCAUCAAGGUUUAGUUGAAGUUAUUAUUUUCGGUUUGAGUUUCCAUUGAACUUUUUUAGUUAAUUCAAUUUAAAUUAAAAAAAAAAACACUUUUUAUUAGAGUAAAUUCAACUAGUCUUGGGCCACAAAAGACACAAACCCAACUAGUGUGUGGUUUGUUGGGAAUCAUGGGCAGAACAGCAACGAUCUAAAGCCCACUAUCCAGUAAACCCAUGUUGUAUCUAAGAAUCUUUGAAAAAGUAGAAGAGAGAAUCCAGCAUCUAGGGGGCAUUUUCGGGGACAUGGAUUUAGCAAAUCUAAUGAUUUCUCAAGGUCGGACUCUGAUUUCUGGCUUUGAUCAAUAAAUUCAACCCAAUAGAAAAGCAGAAAUGGAAAAAUGCAAGAGCAGAAGCAAGUUUAAAGUUCUGCAUCUAAAUACAAAUUGAAAAGGCCAAAAAUAUGAUUCUACAACUGCCCGUAAAUUUCAUACACAAAUCUGCAAAUCUACAUCUUGCACCCCAAAUUAUACAUUAUCCAAUAUUCAUACUAAAACCAAAAGGUCAAGCAUGGUACCUGAAGUUUUAAUAUAUAUAAAAAACUCACAUAUAAAUCAUGAAAAUGUUUAUCACAUAACUGGAACCGGCAUUACCACUUCACUGGUAGCAUCCAUAUUUGAACUACUAGCACUGGAGUCCCGGUUUUCCUCCCUGGACGCCUUUUUCUUGAUGAAUUCGAUACAAUCUGCCACAGCUUCGCUAUGGUGCGCAUCAGCCGGGUAAUAUUUUCGCGGGACGACGGAUGAGCCUGUGUGAUUAUGAUGAUGUGAGGCCUUGGUGACAGCUGACAGCAUUAUCAGGCGAAAAACUGCUUCUCGGAAGCGUUCUAGCAGGGUCAUUGGUGAUAAACGUUUGUUUUUGUUGUUGCCUUUGAACCUUGGCAUGCAUAGGCUACUGCUCUUCAUUUUCUUGGGGCUGCCUCUGAUUUUCUUCUCCAUUCUCUGGUCGUUUACCUUUGAAAAUAGAGGGCAUAUAUAGGAGAAUCUAAUGCACCAGAAAAUUUUUAUAUGCAUGUAUUUUGUUCUGUAGCUUUAGCUUACCAAGUAAACAUAUAUGUAUCUCUUAUUUAUUACAUAUAUGAUAUUGUAGAAUUUCCAGGAUUUGUUGUGAUGGUUAAUUUUUUGAUAAACAAAUUUGGAGAAUUAACUUAAUGGCAUUAAUGGUUGAAAAAGCAAGCAUCAUCGAGUUUUUCCAGUGGGACCUGGAAACCUUAAUCCUUAAUAAUAUAGUGUCAGAAAUUUUGCUGGAAAAUGGUGGCAAUCAAUUGGUCAAGUCAAUGCUAAUUGCAAUAGAGCCAUUAGGCAAAGCAUGUUUUAGAGUAGUAUUUUGUAUUCUAAUGACUCGUGACAACUCAACCAUGUUAUGUUAACACACCAUCCCAACUUGUACUACCUGACCUUUUUAGGAUCAAGUUCCUGCAUGUGUCACAACAACACAAUUUAUGCAACAAAAAUCAUGAUUUAACAAUCACCAAAAUCCACAAUUGUUUUUAAAUUCUUUUCUAAUAUUAUAUUAGAAAUGAAAAUUCCAUUUUGUGAUUCAAACUCUAUGACUAAGUUGUUUCCAUUUUCUCUUCAUUAUUUAUAUCAGAAGUAACCAUCAUAAUGACUUCAAUGUCUGCAUACCAAGACAUUUUAAUCCACAAAACAGGGUAAGGAAAAUAAUUUCCUUUUGAAAAGUUGCUUUAGCAUAUCAGAACACGAGAAUUGAAAAUGGUCCCAAAGCUUAAUCCAUGGCCUAGAGUUUAGGGUUCUGCUUGUAAUUAAUGAUUAAAAUAUAUUAGCAAAGCAUGUAGCAAACUCUCUCGAUCUGAUAAGGCUCACAUGGCUACAUGUGCAUUGGUUACAUAAUUUAAUGCAAUCGUUCAUGGCUGACCACAACUAUAUUAAAUUCAAUUCAGCCGACUUACCAACCAUCAAGAAUCCUUUGUUUUACCCUCCUUGAAUAAGACAUAGAAAUGUUCUUCAUGCACAAUUCUCUGUUUCGUAUCCAUACAGACAUAUACUUAAACAAAGGGUCUCUGAUAAAAUAUGGAGCUUGUUCACUAUGGUUCAUAGUGUUGGAGAGAUAAAUCACACUUGGAGUUCAUAAGAACACAUCAGAGAGCCCAUACAUAUACGUUGGAUAUCACUUGAGCCCCAAAAGCUUAAACUAUUAGGUUCUUGGGUCUUUCAUGCAUAUAUAAGACAUCUCAUUCAGAUUUCCUAAUGAUGUGAAAUUUUUUACUCACAAGUAAACCAUAUCCCAACAAUCUUCUCCAUUCACUUGUAAGUUCUAAUCAAGUCCCACUUCGGCUCAUCCGUGCGAGUAAGUCCUAUCAACACCUCAUUUGGGUCAGGCAACCUCACAUUUCUAGUGCGUUUUUGGGCUAGGGCAUAGCACUUAACUUGGUUGUCUAGAUUGUCUCAGUGCUCCCUCAAGCUUACACUCUAGGUUGACUCAACACAUCACCACUUGGUGUUCCGCUUCUGCAUAUUAUCAUAGACUCACUACAUCCAAGUCGAACCUUUUAAUACCAAUAUUCAAGCACACGGAGUUGAUGGAAGCGACUAACUUUCAACCUGCCAACAAUCUCCCCCUAGCAACACCACUGAAACUUGAAUCCGUCAUAACCUUGGCUCUGAUAUUACUUGUUAAGGAGACAAACAACAUUUGAAACUCAUGAGAGCACAUCAAAAAGCCCAUACAUACAUGUUGGAUACCACUUGAGCCCAAAAGCUUAAGUUAUUAGGUUUUUAGGUCCUUCAUACAUAUAUAAGACAUCUCAUUCAGAUUUCUUAAUGAUGUAAGAUCUUUUACUCACAUGUGAACCAUAUCCCAACAAUUAUUAUUAAGAAAAUAGGGUCCAACCCCAUGUAAUUAGUUUUGGACCAAUCAAAGGCCAUGGUGGGCCUUGGUCUUUCUUGUCAUACAAAACCCUAGCUACUUAAUAAAAAGAUGUGGGGUUGUUUUAAGGUGGUGUUGCAAAACUAAUAAAAGAAAGAAAAAAAGCCAAAAAAAUAAAAAGAAAAGAAAAAAAAAGAGAAUUGGUUGAACGAAAGUUGAUCCGUGAUCCGAUUGAGUUAAAAUUUUAUCAACAAGUUUACGAUUCAAAGUUUUAUAUUCUGAAUGGUGAAGAUCAGAUUUGAAACCCUCUAAGAAUAAAUCCAAAGUGUAUUUGUUGAGUCACCUAUUUGGUGAGAUUUCUCUAAUUAUCUCUCUCUAGUUGUUGAUUAGCUUUAGUUUUAGCUAGAGAAAAACUUUGUAUAUUCAUGAUUUGAUAGUAAAGAUUUAUCCGGUGGUCUGUGAUUUUUCUCUCUACAUUGGAAGGUUUUUCACGUAAAUCUUGGUGUGAUUUUAUUUUUCCUACAUUAUUGAUUAUUAAUUGUUGUCUAUUACUAUGGGUUUAUUACGAUAUAUUGCUUUUACGUUGUUGUGUUUAUUAUUUCAAACCUAACAAGUGAUAUCAGAACGAAGGUUAUUUUGAGACAUCGAUACAGAAGCAGCCCAAGAUAGAAAUAAAUUAUGUUUGAGAUUAUAGAUGGUGAUACAGGUUUCAUAAUAAAAUUGAAAACAUCAAAUUAUUCAAUUUGAAAGCUUAUGAUGAAAGAUCAUUUAUGCUGCAAAGAUUUGUAUGAGCCGGUAUUGGGUGAUUCGACUAAACUAACAGAUAUGAAAGAUGAAAAUAGAAAGAAGUUAGGCAAAAAUACGCUGACUAUAAUAAAAAAAUAGGUUGAUAUUAGCAUGUUUCAUCAUAUAGCAUUGAAGAUAUAUGCCCAUACUAUUUGAGAAAAAUUAGCAGUAUUGUAUGAGAGAAAAACAUGUAUGAAUAAAAUUAUACUUGUUAAAAAGCUUAUUACAGAGCACUUGAGUGAUUUUCAAGAUAUAUUUAAUUAGAUGACUGUUAUAGAGCUUAAGAUGGAUGAUGAAUUAAAGGCAUUGUUUCUUUUAGGUUCAUUGCCAGAUAGUUGGAAUACUCUAGUUGUGAUUGUUCUUAAUUCAGCUCCUCAUUAUAAGAUGAUAUUAGAAAUGGUAAAUGACAAUAUGCUUACUAAAUAAAUAAGACGAAAAGAUGUUGUAAUACCCUAGCCCAAAUAAUAAUUGGGCUAGACUAAUACCAAAGCCCAUCAGUUUAUUAAGAGAUUAAUUAGUAAAAGAAAAAAGGGCUGAAGUAUUAGAUAAAAAAAAUAUAACUAUUGUGAAACAAAAAGGAAAUAUAAUUCUUCAUUCUCAUCUUUUUUAGGGUUAAAGAGCAUGAAAAAUCAAGUACAAGAUUCAAAAUUGAAGAUUACAAUCGAGUUAAUCUCCUAAAAGUAAGUACAUGCCAUAUUUUUAUUUAAGAAAUAUACUAUGUUGGUUGCUAUUAUUUGGAGUUGAAGUUCUAAGAGAAAAAUCAAGAAAAAUUAUGAAAUCUUUUAUUAAUCUUCAUGAUCUAUUUGGGUAAAUUAUUGGGCUUUGUUUAUUUCAUGUCUUUAAGAUUUAUUGAUGAUUUAUUGAUGAUUAUUGAAUGGAGUUUAAAGGCUGAAAGUGGGGAUUUGAAUUUUUAAAGAUUGAAGGAAAAAUUCUAUUUUUAGAUGAGAUGCUAUAAUCUACAACAGUGAAUUAAAAUAGGAUUUUGUAUUAAUGGAUAAAUUAUUGCUAUGAUUAUUAUAUAUCGUUGGAAAGCAUGUUGAAUCUAUUUUCUAAUGAAACAAACGAAAGCCAAAUCUGAGUUUUUUAUGAAGAGUUGUCUAAUUUUUACUUAAGGAUAUACAAGCUAUAAAGCAACAACAUCAGGGUUGAAUUACGAAAAUUAUCUUAAUUUUUAUACAAAGACUUACAGAUUAAGUCAUAUAUGUUUGAAAAGCUUAUUGAGUCUACUUUCCAAUGAAAGUAGCGAAAUUGAAUUUGGAGUUUUUUAAUGAAUAAAUACAUAAUUUUUAUGAGAAGGUAUACAGGUUGUCUAGUAGUAGCAUAUGAUGUGAAUUCCAAAAAUUGUUAUAAUUAAUCCACAAGGAAUCAUGAGAUGCACCAUAAAUGGUUAGAAAGCUUAUCGAGUCUAAUUUCUAAUGCAUUAAAAAGAUUUUAAUUAUGAAUUGGAUAUCUUAAGAUAUGGUCAUUUUAUUGAAGGUAGCAUAGGCUGCUAGAAUUAGUUACUUGAGUUAUUUCUUGUUUAACUUAGUUGUUUUGGUAUAAGCGAUCUCAAAUGGGUUGAUUAAUUACUGUUAUAUUGAAAUGAUCUUAAAUAGGCCAUUACUUAUUUGGAAAAAAAAACUAAAUGAUGAAAUUGAAAAGAGGUAAGUAGAAUCUCACACA